Molecule: ribosomal RNA, 1359 nt
Filed under: uncultured bacterium
Lineage: Bacteria
Description: bacterial SSU rRNA
Rfam family: Bacterial small subunit ribosomal RNA
Source: RNAcentral
GAUGAACGCUAGCUACAGGCUUAACACAUGCAAGUCGAGGGGCAGCAUUUCAGUUUGCUUGCAAACUGGAGAUGGCGACCGGCGCACGGGUGAGUAACACGUAUCCAACCUGCCGAUAACUCGGGGAUAGCCUUUCGAAAGAAAGAUUAAUACCCGAUGGUAUAAUCAGACCGCAUGGUCUUGUUAUUAAAGAAUUUCGGUUAUCGAUGGGGAUGCGUUCCAUUAGGCAGUUGGUGAGGUAACGGCUCACCAAACCUUCGAUGGAUAGGGGUUCUGAGAGGAAGGUCCCCCACAUUGGAACUGAGACACGGUCCAAACUCCUACGGGAGGCAGCAGUGAGGAAUAUUGGUCAAUGGGCGCAGGCCUGAACCAGCCAAGUAGCGUGAAGGAUGACUGCCCUAUGGGUUGUAAACUUCUUUUAUAUGGGAAUAAAGUUUUCCACGUGUGGAAUUUUGUAUGUACCAUAUGAAUAAGGAUCGGCUAACUCCGUGCCAGCAGCCGCGGUAAUACGGAGGAUCCGAGCGUUAUCCGGAUUUAUUGGGUUUAAAGGGAGCGUAGGUGGACAGUUAAGUCAGUUGUGAAAGUUUGCGGCUCAACCGUAAAAUUGCAGUUGAUACUGGCUGUCUUGAGUACAGUAGAGGUGGGCGGAAUUCGUGGUGUAGCGGUGAAAUGCUUAGAUAUCACGAAGAACUCCGAUUGCGAAGGCAGCUCACUGGACUGCAACUGACACUGAUGCUCGAAAGUGUGGGUAUCAAACAGGAUUAGAUACCCUGGUAGUCCACACAGUAAACGAUGAGUACUCGCUGUUUGCGAUAUACAGUAAGCGGCCAAGCGAAAGCAUUAAGUAUUCCACCUGGGGAGUACGCCGGCAACGGUGAAACUCAAAGGAAUUGACGGGGGCCCGCACAAGCGGAGGAACAUGUGGUUUAAUUCGAUGAUACGCGAGGAACCUUACCCGGGCUUAAAUUGCAUUUGAAUAUAUUGGAAACAGUAUAGCCGUAAGGCAAAUGUGAAGGUGCUGCAUGGUUGUCGUCAGCUCGUGCCGUGAGGUGUCGGCUUAAGUGCCAUAACGAGCGCAACCCUUAUCUUUAGUUACUAACAGGUCAUGCUGAGGACUCUAGAGAGACUGCCGUCGUAAGAUGUGAGGAAGGUGGGGAUGACGUCAAAUCAGCACGGCCCUUACGUCCGGGGCUACACACGUGUUACAAUGGGGGGUACAGAAGGCAGCUACCUGGUGACAGGAUGCUAAUCCCAAAAGCCUCUCUCAGUUCGGAUCGAAGUCUGCAACCCGACUUCGUGAAGCUGGAUUCGCUAGUAAUCGCGCAUCAGCCAUGGCGCGGUGAAUACGUUCCCGGGCCU